CAUGUAGGCGGUCUUGUAAGCUUGGCGUGAAAGACCACGGCUCAACCGUGGGAUUGCGUUGAGAACUGCGAGGCUUGAGUGACGGAGAGGGAGCUAGAAUUCCUGGUGUAGGGGUGGAAUCUGUAGAGAUCAGGAAGAAUACCAAUGGCGAAGGCAAGCUCCUGGCCGAUGACUGACGCUGAGGUGCGAAAGUGUGGGGAUCAAACA
This 207-nucleotide ribosomal RNA is filed under the name uncultured bacterium. RNAcentral's name for it is "partial 16S ribosomal RNA". It matches the Rfam family "Bacterial small subunit ribosomal RNA", at positions 568 to 774 of the family's 1533-position model. The record is from RNAcentral.